AGAGUUUGAUCAUGGCUCAGGACGAACGCUGGCGGCAUGGAUUAGGCAUGCAAGUCGAACGAAAAGCAGGAGCUUGCUUCUGUGGACGAGUGGCGAAAGGGUGAGUAACGCGUGAGCAACCUUCCCUCAAGUCGGGAAUAACCUCUGGAAACGGGGGCUAAUACCGGAUGUGGAUAUAAAACCGCAUGGUUUAAUAUUUAAAGAUUUAUCGCUUGAGGAUGGGCUCGCGUACCAUUAGCUAGUUGGUGUGGUAACGGCAUACCAAGGCGACGAUGGUUAGGUGGAUUGAGAGAUCGGUCACCCACACUGGGACUGAGACACUGCCCAGACUCCUACGGGAGGCUGCAGUCGAGAAUCUUCCGCAAUGCGCGAAAGCGUGACGGAGCAAUGCCGCGUGGUCGAUGAAGGCCUUCGGGUUGUAAAGACCUGUCACAUGGGACGAAUAUUUGACGGUACCAUGAGAGGAAGCCACGGCUAACUACGUGCCAGCAGCCGCGGUAAUACGUAGGUGGCGAGCGUUGUUCGGAUUUAUUGGGCGUAAAGGGUCCGCAGGGGGUUUGCUAAGUCUGAUGUGAAAUCCCGGGGCUCAACCCCGGAACUGCAUUGGAAACUGGUGAACUAGAGUAUCGGAGAGGUAAAUGGAAUUCCUGGUGUAGCGGUGGAAUGCGUAGAUAUCAGGAAGAACACCGAGAGCGAAGGCAAUUUACUGGACGAUCACUGACCCUCAGGGACGAAAGCGUAGGUAGCGAACAGGAUUAGAUACCCUAGUAGUCC
Molecule: ribosomal RNA, 774 nt
Filed under: uncultured bacterium
Lineage: Bacteria
Description: bacterial SSU rRNA
Rfam family: Bacterial small subunit ribosomal RNA
Source: RNAcentral